UCCAUUAUAAAUUACCCAAUUUCAGGUAUGUCCUUAUAGCAGCAUGAGAAUGGACUAAUGCAUUAUCUUACUGAUAUAAUGGAAGGGUCAAAAAUUGGAAACAAGUACUUCAUGUCAGUAGACUCUACUUACCCUAGAAGCCUCUGUUUACUUUUUUAUUCACACGUAAUUAUUGAGGUCUUACUUUCUGCAAAGCCUUGUCUUACGUGCUGAGGAUAUAGCAGUGAAUUAAAUAAAGUUCUUAUUUUUGAAGAGCCUUGCAUUCUACUGAAGGAUAUGGCAAUAAAUAAAUAAAAACAUAUUAUGUUAUUAAUAUGAUAUCACACAUGCUAUAAAGAAAAAGCAGAAUAAAAGAAUAGGGGGCAGGGAGGUACUUUUUAAAAUAGCAUGGUCAAAAUAAACCUCCUUAGGAGUAACUAUGAGAUCUGAACAAAAUACAAAAGGACUCAACACAUAUGCAGUAAAGAAAAUGAAAGCCAAAAACAAGUCAGUAAUCCAUCCAGAUGACUGCUAUACACUGUUUUCAUUUUCCUCAUUGGCUAUAUAUAGUGAGUCAUUUUUUUCUUUGUUCCGAUCUCAAAGUUACAUGUAUUUGGAAUCAGAAAAAAAUUUUUAACUUGUUUUAUUUGGUAACCUAGAUCUCAGUUCAUCUAGGAUGAUGUUCUUUAAAAUAUAUAUAGCAGGCCAGAUAUACUGAAUUUACAGAUAUCAUUUAAGUUUGGCAUCAUUGUAUGUGCAUUGACAUUUAUUGUACAUAAAUUCAGUGAUGUUUAUGAUGGAAUUUUUGUAGUAAGCAAAAUUUAGGUUCCCUUUACCAUUUUGUCUAUAUGAAGAAGUGUGUUAGACUUGGUAGGAGGUAUCCUUGAAGUCACUUUUAGAAAAACAUUGGCUCUACUGAGUAGAGGAUGGGUUAGUUUCCUGAGUUUCUGUACCCCUCCAAUGAAAGACCAAUAACUUAAAAUUACAGAGGCUGCUACAUGGUCUUCUCCAGCAGGCUCAUGGAAAUGCCUACCCUUCUGACCCAGCCACUAGAGGGAUUGUUGUACCAUGGAGAAGCAGGUUUCCCCCAGUGUUUUGGGAGUGAUUCUGCUCAGGGCAUUGUCUGGAAAGUAUUCAUCAUCUUUUCUGAAGAAGUGAUGGAGGCAGGUCUUUAUCAGCAGCCUGAAAAUGGACUGGUAUCACAUCUUAAAGUAAAAUGGAAUAAUUAGUACUUCAAAUCAAGAAACCAAUAUGCAAGGUAAUAACUUUGUUUUCUUUUGUUAUAGUGACACAGUUAAACUCUUUGGGUAUUCAACAAUAUAAGGCAAGUAGGGCAGGGGUACAGGAGGGAGUAUUGGGAAGUCAUGGAGGAGAUUUGGGAAUGUUCAUUCAUGGGACUCAUGAUGAAACAGAUAACACUGUGAAUUAUCAAGAGACAAAGCAGGAAAAUCAGAAGGUUCUUGCCUUUACUAUUUUUAGGGAUCAAUAUCAGUGUUCUUGGACUGUGAGAAACAUGGGAAUGAGAAGACCUCCCAGAGUAGAAGAGACAGAUGGGCAGUUCUGUCGCUGGCACAGAAGCAUAAACUCAUCUCCUGAGUGAACCUGGCAGAGCUGAAGAGCCAUUCAAGCAUCAAUGACAUGCUGUGUAGUAAAGUGCUUGGGGUCCAGGGAAGUUUGGUACCGGGAUCCUCAGAGCUCUGAACCCUUGGGGCUGCUAUGGGUUCCGGAGUAUUUCACCGAUUUCAGUUAUCUAGUGGCGUUCCAUGUCUACUGGUUCUGCCCCAGUGUACCUGUUUGCAGAAUGUGCUCUGUACAUUGACAAGAUAAAAGAAGAUCUAAAGGGAACUGGAGAAAAACAGAACAGGCAGGGGAAAAAUGAAUGUAAAAUACUUGGGCUAUUUAACUUAAAGAAAAAAACGAAAGAUUACUCAGUUUUAGAUUACUGGGGAGUGAUCUAAUAAUUGGCUUUUAGGAAAACAGAGAUUUAUUGUGUAGAGUACAGUAGAGUUGGCACUCAACGAAGAACUCAAGUCUGUUGGAGUUCACGGAUACUGGCCUUUAGGGAGAGUUACAGAAAAUUGAAGAAGGAGGGGGCCCUAUCAGGAACAUUGGCCCAUCUGCCAUCAAGUCCAUUUGGUGUCUAAAUCAUUUCAAAGAGAUGAAGACAUCUCUCAUUUUUAGAGACAUAAUUGAUCCUAGAUGGGAUUAGGAUGGAAUGACAUGGAAGAGCUGGAUCUGAGGCAUGCUCUUGGAGAAGAGCUGAUGACUGACACCAGGAAAAUUCAGAGCCAGGAGGCAGGGAGAGGUAACUGCUUAGCAGUUCUUAAGCCUUCAGAGAUGACAGAAUCUGCUUUUGUUGUCUGAAGAGAUUGCCCUCCACAUUAGACAGAUAAGGAUGGAAAAAAACAUAAUCAGCUUUUCUUAAUUCACAUGUGGGAUGAAACUGGCAGGCAGCGGAGCUCAACCUACACAUCAAGAUAAGCUUAGCUUGUGGUCAGGCUGAAGGACUUGUCUUGAGUUGUUUCAAGUUAGUAGGAAUGACUUCCAGGGUGAAAAGCACUGUAAGGGAGAAAAGAUGUACAAAACACCGAAUGUCCUCUAUGGGUUUGUGGACAGACUUUCCACAUUGUUAGUGCAAAAGAUUUGUUACAUUUUAUAGAGUUAGUACACAUGAAAUGAAUCAGUGUUCAUACUUCUCAAGGUCAGAGUCCCAUAUACUGUUCACCUGAAUCUCAUAGACUAAGUAGCAGCUUGGAAAUAGCUUCACCACGCAGGCCAGAUCAAUUUGCAGGUCUCUUAGAACACAGAUUUCCCGUGUCUGACACUGUCAUCUGCCCUUGUUAGCCAUUGGACACAGGCCUGAUACCUUCUAAUUUACUAAACUCAUUUGAGAAUAAAACAUAAUACAAAGAAUUAAAGGGGUAAGAAAGAAGAUUUAGCAGUUGCCGUAUUUUGCUAUAUUUUCCAUUUAUUUUUCUUUUGGGAAAGAUUUUAAUUGUUAUAUGGUCUAGUUGAAAAGAAAUUUUACAGAACCUGUUAAUACAUAAAACUGGAGAACAUUUUUCUUAAUUAUUUUAAACUAUAAGACAAAGUCUGAGCAGCUAUUACACUUUGUGUAGUAAAUUGUUAGAGGUCUUUUGAAAUCAAAGAGUUAUGGUCACCUUGACUUUAUUUCAUUUUUUCCUUGCUAUACCUGAUGAUAAAUCAUUGCUUGGCAUGCUCUAAUGUGUACUUGUGUCUCAGUUUCAUGUUUGUAUUUCAUUUAUAUGGAAACAUUCUCCUUUACAGAGUGAAGUCAGUGUACAUCACCACUUAGCCCUGGAAAAGGUUUGCUUUUCUGGAAUUUGGUUCUGCUCUAUAUCAAGAUUUCAAUGUAAAAAGGUUAGAUUUCCACAGGUGGCUUUGCAUUAGUCAGAACUGAAAUCAGAGUCUAUUACUUAUAAGAGGUCAUGGAGCAACUAAUUCAAGACACAUGGGGGUCUUGCCAAACACGAUACAUCUAGUUAAUGGAAAAACUAUCACCAGAAUGUGUUGAGUGUUCUUUGCAUGUAACAUAUCACAGUAACUUUUGACUGGCUAUAUCUGGAUAAUACCUAAAUGGAACAAGACGCAGAGGAGUAGAAUUGGGAUGCACGUGAAGCUAUCAGACACUAGGUGGCAUCUGUCUCUUUUUGAGUCUGAUGGGUAGAUAGCGUUUCAAUUGGACUUGUACAUUGACGGGGAGUGGACAAUAAUUUGCAAUCUAUGAUCUUUUUUCUUUUAUAGAUUUGUGUGAACUAAGCUAACACCAAUGACUCGUAAACUAAUUUCAGCAUUGCAAAUGAGAGGUAGCAAGUUCUUGGGAGAUACAAAUAAUCCUUAUUAUAUAGCAUCUGCAACAAAGAACAGUGAAAUUUUAGAGAAAUGACAAGACAAAAGAGAAGACUUUGAAUUUUCAGCGGCAGCAAAUGGUGGGAAGGCAAAUAAAGUCCACCAAUGAUGGAAGCGUUACAUGGUGCAUGACUGUACUUUUUAAAACUCUGGUCAACAUGAGUGUCAGACUCUCUUGCUGACAACCCAGCCAUCUUUCUGCAAUUACAAGCAUCUCAGGAACUGCAUACACAGUGGAGAAGACAGAAAAAGGAUGGCACGAUGAAGCUUCAUUCAGACAGACAAGUAAGUAAACAAAUACAUAAGGUAUAAAUAAAGGACUACUCCAUGUUUUAUUUAUUUCAGUUAUCUAUUCUUAUAUAAUAAGCCACCCCCAAAUUUAGUGCCUUAAAGCAACUUUUUUAUUUUGCUCUUUGAUUUUGUAAGUCAGGAAUGUGGACAGGGUGUGGCUGGGUGGUGAACUCCAAUCACAGCAUCAGGUAGGGUGGUGGAUGGGGAGGAUCCACCUCUAAGAUGUCUACCACACUGGCACAUCCAGUAUUGGCAGUAUUGGCCCCUUUCUCUUGGGGUCUCAUCUUCUAGGGCCUCUCCAGGUGGCUUGGAUUUCUCAAAAAAUGGUUGCUCAGGGUGGCCAUACUUUUUACAUGAUGUCUGGCUUCCAAAAGUCACAAAGCAAAAGUUGUCAAAAUAGUGAAGGAUGAUUCUGGCAGUGGUACACUGGCAUUUCUCAUGUAAUCCAUCUCAGGGUACCUAAAUUCAAGAAGGGAUUGAAAAAUAGUCUCCACCCUUAAAUGGGGGGCUAGGGGAGGUAGCAAGUUUCCAUUGCAGAACAGCAGGUGGGAUGGAAAAUAUUUUCGUGUCUAUCUUUGGAAAAUACAAUCUACUACAUGAGUGAAGAAGACGUAAUAUGAAGAGGAGUGGAUUGCAGGGUUGCAGGGUGCCCUUAUUAUAGUUGUACCAGCCAUGAGAAGGAGUAGAGGAUGUUCUAGUUUGAGGAAGUCGAAAUACAAAUGGUCAAUUGACAUUCACAUAAUGUGCCUUUAACAAUACUGAUGACAGUGGUUGGAUGAGAAUUGGCAAGCCAAGAAACAAAUUCAACUAGUCUUGUUUAUCCAUCUUCUCUGAGCAUUUUCUUUAGUUCAUUCUUAAUCAUUUACACUUUUAUGCCUAAUUGUUUGCUGGAGGUGAUACAUUGCAAUAGUGACUGCUUAGGUAUGGUUGCGGUGCAAGGUUCUUAAAUCCAGUUCAAGCAAAUGCAGACAUGUUAUCAAGAUGGAUGUUGCCUAUAAAAUCUAUGUUCCAUAUAACUAGAGCAGAACUUGGUGUUGGCAGUACCGUGAGAUGGAGCAGAGAGCGCAUCGAUACAUUUUGCGAUGAUGUCCAUGACAAUCAAGGCAUAUUUUGUCCCUUAAUAUUUUUGUAAAAUCAAUAUGGAUUAUUGAUCCCAGCUCCUUAAAGCCUUCUUGGGAAGUUGUGUAUACCAUUAGCAAUGCAUGAGGUAAUUCAACAGUUGGGACAUUCUUUUAGUUUUCCAGGAUUAGAAUCCCUUAUAAAUCACCAGUCCUUGUUCUACCUAAUGCUUUCAAGUAAAUAAUCCUAUGAUGUGCUGCACAGCAUCUGUUGUAUCAGUGGCUUUUGUUUUUUUUUCUUUUGGUGCAUAAGUGUUUCUGGAGGUAUUUGAAAAAUGUAGACUUCCAGAUUUCACAUUCAAGGAUUUAGAGUCAGUCUGGAGUAAGAUCUGAGCAUGUGUAUUUGGAAUACAUGCUGGAUAACGCUGAGGUAGAUGCUCAAAAUAUUUACCACUUUGAGUUAGUAGGUUUAUGAUGGCUGGUGUCCAUAUGGAUCUAGGAAAUUUCUGCAUCAGGCAAAGAGAAUAAAGCAUCAUCUACCUAUAUGUCCUUUACCCCUGUUUUAGUCCAUUUCGUGAUGCUAUAACAGAAUACCAGAGGCUGGGUAAUUUAUAAAGAAAAGAGUUUGUUUUUGUUUUUUUAAGUUCAUGAUUCUGGUGACUGGAAAGUCCAAGAUCAUGGCACUGGCAUUUGCUCAGCUUCUGGUGAGGGCCACAUGCUGUGUCAAGACAUGGUAGAGGCAUGGACAGGUGAGUGGGUGUAUAAAGAAAGCAAACACGAGGAGGAACAACCUGCUCUCGUGGUAACUGGUCUAGUUCUGUGGGAGUGAAAACUCAUUCUUGUGAGAUAACAUUAAUCUAUUCAUGAGAAAUCUGCCCCUAUGACUCACCUCCCACAAGACCCCACCUCCCAAUGCUGCUGCAUUAGUAAUCAAAUUUCAGCGUGAGUUUUGGCAGGGGCAUACUACAUUCAAACCACAGCAACUCUUUGUCUUUCUUCUCUGUCUAUACUAACAGUUUAAGCCCUGUAUGAGGGGUAAACUGUAGAAUACAUGCCUUAAAAUGAAGGUAGUUUUGUAAUUCUGACAAAAUAACAAUACUACAAAUGACAUAAUACUAAAAUACGUACUAUUUCUGUUAUUUUACUUUAGUUCCAAUCCUCACAUUAUCUGAUUUAAACCAAAGGAGCAACAACAAAUCAAAGCUUGGAUUAAGAAAAGGAUUGCUCUGAAGGGACCAAGAGCCUACUCAUUUACAUUCACGGAGCGUUCUUUUAGUGUACUUGCUUUUACAGAUAGACUGGUCCAUCUGCAGUGAAUCAGCAGGCCUGUUUACUUAGCUCUUGGCUUUCUUAUAGUUCUAGAGAAAUAUCAGUGGUUGAGAUAAUUAUACAGUGAGACUACAGUUAUUGUGGGGAAAUUGCCUUGUCAAAGAUGGGUGCGCAAUAAUGCAGUCUCUGCAAAAAGCCAUGCCACAGCCUUUUCAUCACUUUAUUAUUAACUCCUUAGUUACCAGUUUAUCAUGGUAACUAGGGUAGAUUUUAAAAAAACAUGGAAAGGUAAAAAAAACUCAAUAACUAUGCA
Molecule: long non-coding RNA, 6780 nt
Organism: Sapajus apella (tufted capuchin)
Lineage: Eukaryota; Metazoa; Chordata; Mammalia; Primates; Cebidae
Exons: 7
Source: RefSeq, a predicted model, not a curated record